ACGGAGGUGGCAAGCGUUAUUCGGAUUUAUUGGGCGUAAAGGGCGCGUAGGCGGUUUGGUAAGUCUGAUGUGAAAUCUCCAUCGCUCAACGAGGAGUCUGCAUCAGAUAAUGCCAUUCUUGAGUACUGGAUAGGUAAGUGGAAUUCCUGGCGUAGCGGUGCAAUGCGUGGAUAUCAGGAGGAUCACCUGUGGCGAAAGCGGCUUACUGGCCAGUAACUGCCGCUGAGGCGCGCAACCGUGGGUAGCAAACAG
RNAcentral lists this ribosomal RNA (252 nucleotides) under uncultured prokaryote. RNAcentral's name for it is "partial 16S rRNA". It matches the Rfam family "Bacterial small subunit ribosomal RNA", at positions 525 to 775 of the family's 1533-position model. The record is from RNAcentral.